Molecule: ribosomal RNA, 1324 nt
Filed under: Arpagonus sp. DDM1177
Lineage: Eukaryota; Metazoa; Arthropoda; Insecta; Coleoptera; Staphylinidae
Description: eukaryotic LSU rRNA
Rfam family: Eukaryotic large subunit ribosomal RNA
Source: RNAcentral
ACUAACUAGGAUUCCCUUUGUAGCGGCGAGCGACAAGGGAAGAGCCCAGCACCGAAUCCCGCGGCCGACUCCGGACGCCGGGAAAUGUGGUGUUAGGGAGGGUCCGCCAUCCCGAGGUCGCGUCUCGCGUCCAAGUCCUUCUUGAACGGGGCCACUUACCCAGAGAGGGUGCCAGGCCCGUAGGGACCGUUCCCGAUCGCGGGAGGACCUCUCCUCAGAGUCGGGUUGCUUGAGAGUGCAGCCCCAAGUUGGUGGUAAACUCCAUCUAAGGCUAAAUAAAACCACGAGACCGAUAGCGAACAAGUACCGUGAGGGAAAGUUGAAAAGAACUUUGAAGAGAGAGUUCAAUAGUACGUGAAACCGUUCAGGGGUAAACCUGAGAAACCCGAAAAGUCGAACGGGGAGAUUCAGCGCAAGCUCUGCCGUCUUAAGUUUUCCGGCACGUGACGUGCGACGUUCGCGUCGCACGCCGUCCGGGCUUUCGAACGCGUCCGAGAAGCGUGCACUUCUCCCCUUGUAGAACGUCGCGACCCGUCGGGCGUCGGACUAAGGCCCGCGGAGGAGCCCGCCAAGGACGGUUCGCCGUUCCUUGCGGACCCGCGUAGCCCGUCCGGCUACCAGACGGUUUGAACGAGGCGCGGAGUCGCGAACACGUUCGCGUCCGGUCCGUCGCGAGUUCGAGCGGUCGCCCGAAGAUCGGACAUGCGCCGUUCUCGGAGCCGUUCGGCUGUCGGCGGCGGAAUCCUCGGACGGACUCCGUACGCGCCGGUCGGCGACGCUUAGAUUCGGGUACUUUCAGGACCCGUCUUGAAACACGGACCAAGGAGUCUAGCAUGUGCGCGAGUCAUUGGGACUUUCUAAACCUAAAGGCGAAAUGAAAGUAAAGGACGCCCCGUGCGUCCGAGGGAGGAUGGGCCGUAGCCGUAAAGCGCGACCCCGCACUCCCGGGGCGUCUCAUUCUCCCCGCGAGUAGAGACGCACCCAGAGCGUACACGCUGGGACCCGAAAGAUGGUGAACUAUGCCCGGUCAGGACGAAGUCAGGGGAAACCCUGAUGGAGGUCCGUAGCGAUUCUGACGUGCAAAUCGAUCGUCGGAACUGGGUAUAGGGGCGUAAGACCAAUCGAACCAUCUAGUAGCUGGUUCCCUCCGAAGUUUCCCUCAGGAUAGCUGGCGCUCGUCAAAGAGCGACGAGUCUCAUCCGGUAAAGCGAAUGAUUAGAGGCAUUGGGGUCGAAACGGCCUCAACCUAUUCUCAAACUUUAAAUGGGUGAGAUCUCCGGCUUGCUCGAAAACGAAAGUUUGAAGCCGCGAGAUCGGAUCAGAG